This 253-nucleotide ribosomal RNA is filed under the name uncultured bacterium. RNAcentral describes it as "partial 16S ribosomal RNA". It matches the Rfam family "Bacterial small subunit ribosomal RNA", at positions 524 to 776 of the family's 1533-position model. The record is from RNAcentral.
UACGGAGGGUGCAAGCGUUAUCCGGAUUCACUGGGUUUUAAGGGUGCGUAGGUGGGCAGGUAAGUCAGUGGUGAAAUCUCUGGGCUUAACCCGGAAACUGCCAUUGAUACUAUCUGUCUUGAAUACCGUGGAGGUUAGCGGAAUAUGUCAUGUAGCGGUGAAAUGCUUAGAUAUGACAUAGAACAUCAAUUGCGAAGGCAGCUGGCUACACAAAUAUUGACACUGAUGCACGAAAGCGUGGGGAUCAAACAGG